GGGUAGUUUGACUGGGGCGGUCUCCUCCUAAAGAGUAACGGAGGAGCACGAAGGUUGGCUAAUCCUGGUCGGACAUCAGGAGGUUAGUGCAAUGGCAUAAGCCAGCUUGACUGCGAGCGUGACGGCGCGAGCAGGUGCGAAAGCAGGUCAUAGUGAUCCGGUGGUUCUGAAUGGAAGGGCCAUCGCUCAACGGAUAAAAGGUACUCCGGGGAUAACAGGCUGAUACCGCCCAAGAGUUCAUAUCGACGGCGGUGUUUGGCACCUCGAUGUCGGCUCAUCACAUCCUGGGGCUGAAGUAGGUCCCAAGGGUAUGGCUGUUCGCCAUUUAAAGUGGUACGCGAGCUGGGUUUAGAACGUCGUGAGACAGUUCGGUCCCUAUCUGCCGUGGGCGCUGGAGAACUGAGGGGGGCUGCUCCUAGUACGAGAGGACCGGAGUGGACGCAUCACUGGUGUUCGGGUUGUCAUGCCAAUGGCACUGCCCGGUAGCUAAAUGCGGAAGAGAUAAGUGCUGAAAGCAUCUAAGCACGAAACUUGCCCCGAGAUGAGUUCUCCCUGACUCCUUGAGAGUCCUGAAGGAACGUUGAAGACGACGACGUUGAUAGGCCGGGUGUGUAAGCGCAGCGAUGCGUUGAGCUAACCGGUACUAAUGAAC
This 652-nucleotide ribosomal RNA is filed under the name Escherichia coli. RNAcentral describes it as "partial 23S ribosomal RNA". It matches the Rfam family "Bacterial large subunit ribosomal RNA", at positions 2263 to 2909 of the family's 2925-position model. Lineage: Bacteria; Pseudomonadati; Pseudomonadota; Gammaproteobacteria; Enterobacterales; Enterobacteriaceae. The record is from RNAcentral.